This 468-nucleotide ribosomal RNA is filed under the name uncultured bacterium. Its description in RNAcentral is "bacterial SSU rRNA". It matches the Rfam family "Bacterial small subunit ribosomal RNA", at positions 28 to 507 of the family's 1533-position model. The record is from RNAcentral.
GAUGAACGCUGGCGGCGUGCUUAACACAUGCAAGUCGAACGAAGAUGCCGGAGUGCUUGCACUUUGGCAGACUGAGUGGCGGACGGGUGAGUAACGCGUGGGUAACCUGCCUUAUACAGGGGGAUAACAGUUGGAAACGACUGCUAAUACCGCAUAAGCGCACGGUAUCGCAUGAUACAGUGUGAAAAACUCCGGUGGUAUAAGAUGGACCCGCGUUGGAUUAGCUAGUUGGUAGGGUAACGGCCUACCAAAGCGACGAUCAGUAGCCGGCCUGAGAGGGUGAACGGCCACAUUGGGACUGAGACACGGCCCAAACUCCUACGGGAGGCAGCAGUGGGGAAUAUUGCACAAUGGGGGAAACCCUGAUGCAGCAACGCCGCGUGAAGGAAGAAGGUCUUCGGAUUGAAACUUUUGUCUUGUGGGACGAUAAUGACGGUACCACAGGAGGAAGCAACGGCUAACUACGUG